RNAcentral lists this ribosomal RNA (787 nucleotides) under Extubocellulus spinifer. RNAcentral's name for it is "partial Bacterial large subunit ribosomal RNA". It matches the Rfam family "Bacterial large subunit ribosomal RNA", at positions 16 to 863 of the family's 2925-position model. Lineage: Eukaryota; Bacillariophyta; Thalassiosirophyceae; Cymatosirales; Cymatosiraceae. The record is from RNAcentral.
CGUAUACGGUGGAUGCCUUGGCAGUUAGAGGCGAUGAAGGACGUGUAAGUCUGCGAUAAGCUGUGGAGAGCCGACAAAAUGCUUUGACCCACAGAUUUCCGAAUGGGGAAACCCACCGCUUCGGCGGUAUCUUAUAGUGAAUACAUAGCUAUAAGAAGCGAACGAGGGGAACUGAAACAUCUAAGUACCCUUAGGAAAAGAAAUCAACAGAGAUUCCCCUAGUAGCGGCGAGCGAACGGGGAACAGCCCUUAAGCUGUAUUGAAUGUAGUGGAAUCCUUUGGGAAGAGGAGCGAUACAAGGUGAUAGCCCUGUACACGACGCAAUCUUUACAGUGAAAUCGAGUAGGUCGGGACACGUGUUAUCUUGACUGAAUAUGGGGGGACCAUCCUCCAAGGCUAAAUACUCCUAACUGACCGAUAGUGAACCAGUACCGUGAGGGAAAGGCGAAAAGAACCCCUGUGAGGGGAGUGAAAUAGAACCUGAAACCGUAUACGUACAAGCAGUGGGAGCCCUUCGGGGUGACUGCGUACCUUUUGUAUAAUGGGUCAGCGACUUAUAUUUAGUAGCAAGGUUAAGCGAAUAGCGGAGCCGUAGCGAAAGCGAGUGUUAACUGCGCGUUUAGUUGCUAGGUAUAGACCCGAAACCGAGUGAUCUAGCCAUGGGCAGGUUGAAGGUUGAGUAACAUCAACUGGAGGACCGAACCGACUAACUUUGAAAAGUUAGCGGAUGACUUGUGGCUGGGGGUGAAAGGCCAAUCAAACUCGGAAAUAGCUCGUACUCCCCGAA